Molecule: ribosomal RNA, 480 nt
Filed under: uncultured bacterium
Lineage: Bacteria
Description: bacterial SSU rRNA
Rfam family: Bacterial small subunit ribosomal RNA
Source: RNAcentral
CGGAUGAACGCUAGCGGCAGGCUUAACACAUGCAAGUCGAGGGGUAUAGGUUUUCGGACCUAGAGACCGGCGCACGGGUGCGUAACGCGUAUGCAAUCUACCUUUCACAGAGGGAUAGCCCAGAGAAAUUUGGAUUAAUACCUCAUAGUAUUAUAGAAUGGCAUCAUUUUAUAAUUAAAGUCACAACGGUGAAAGAUGAGCAUGCGUCCCAUUAGCUAGUUGGUAUGGUAACGGCAUACCAAGGCAACGAUGGGUAGGGGUCCUGAGAGGGAGAUCCCCCACACUGGUACUGAGACACGGACCAGACUCCUACGGGAGGCAGCAGUGAGGAAUAUUGGUCAAUGGGCGCAAGCCUGAACCAGCCAUGCCGCGUGCAGGAUGACGGUCCUAUGGAUUGUAAACUGCUUUUGCACAGGAAGAAACAACGCUACGUGUAGCGUCUUGACGGUACUGUGAGAAUAAGGAUCGGCUAACUCCGUG